Molecule: ribosomal RNA, 3178 nt
Filed under: Monilinia laxa
Lineage: Eukaryota; Fungi; Ascomycota; Leotiomycetes; Helotiales; Sclerotiniaceae
Description: bacterial LSU rRNA
Rfam family: Bacterial large subunit ribosomal RNA
Source: RNAcentral
CGUUUGAGAUCAUGGUCAUGAUCAUAAAAAAAAAAAAAAAAAAAUGUAAGUAAAAUAUAUUGUAAUAAAAUUAUUAGCAUUACUAGGACAACGACAUGUUUGCUCUUCAAAUAACGGGCCAGUAGUGGCUUGCUUCGAAGCAAGACCACUACUGGUCCGUAUUUGAAGAGCAAAACAAAGCUCUAACCACUGAUAUAUUAAAUAAGUAAAACGGGCAAUAACCUGUUUGAAUACAAGGGGAACCUUCCUCUAAGGCUAAAUAUAAUACAUAAGCGAUAGCGUAAAGUACUGUGAAGGAAAGGUUGAAAUAGUAGUUUUAUAAGCAGCUCAAGUUUAAAUAAAUAGUAAGAGCGUACCUUUUGCAUAAUGGGUCAGCAAGUUAAUAUUAGAUGCGAGCAGUAAUGCCUAGAUAAACCAAUUAUGAAAUAAUGAAUUAGUAUCUAAAAUUAGACCCGAAGCCUAGUGAUCUUACCAUGGUCAGGGUUAUAAAAGCCCGAACGGUUUAUCGUUGUAAAGAUAUCCGAUGAACUGUGGUAAGUUAGUGAAAGACAAAACUGACUAGGAUAGCUGGUUUUCUGCGAAACCUAUAUAAGUAGGUAAUUCAAGUUACAUCAUAGCAGGUACAGAACUGUGAUCUCAGGCAACUUAUAAUUUCUUAUCUAGGCAACGCCUAGAUAAGAAAUAAUUUUGCAUAUAUCGGGGAAUCGUGAGGAUUUUAUCGGUGAGUAUUCGCACUCGGAAGGGCAAUGAUGAAUAUAAAAAUGUAUUGAAUAAUCGGACAUAGUACGAUAAGGUUGUAUGUCUAAAGGGAAACAGCCCAGAACAAGAGUUAAGGUUCCAAAAUUAUUGUUAAGUGAAACUAAGGAAGUUUCUAUCUAAUACAACUAGGAAAUAGGCUUAGAAGCGGCUAUUUUUUGAAGACCUCGUAACAGAGCACUGGUUUAGUAAAAACUUUACAUUGAUAGUUGCACCGAAAAUUUAACGGAUCUAAACAAUAUACCGACACCUUGUCCAUAUUGUUAAAUAUAAUAUAGAAUUUAACUAUGGGGUAGCAGAACGUUGGGUAAAUCUUAGACAUAUUCUUUUUAAGAAUAUAGAGUAAUAACGAGUAAUAUCGUGUGAGAGCCCUGAAUUAAUGGUAACCCAAGUGAGAAUGCUGACAUGAGUAACGAAAAAGGGUCCCUUGCGUUCGUUAAGAUGAAUUUGAAGAAUAGGAAUUAGUUGUCCAGUUUAGGGCGGACAUUCAAUUAAUUCAAAAAAAAACGUAGGAAAUUAAUAUGGGGGGGAUAUCUAACAAAAGAUAUUAUAGCCCUCGCCUAAAGCUUAUGGAUUUAUUAAAGUAACGGCCUCUAAGUUUACUAACCUAAAGGAUUAAACGAUGAGUAAAGCUUACCUACAAAGUAACAACAUCUUCUUGCUCGGUGAUAAUAUUUAUACGCUCCCUUUUUUUUUUCAAAAAUUAAAGGGAGCGUAUAAAUAUUUAUACUCAGUAAGAAAAGUGAAGAAGGUUCUGGAAAAACUUGUAACAAGUAAUGUUUAUUUUAUCAUUUUAAAUAUACUAAAACAUAUGAAGAAUGACGAAAUAAGGCUAAAUAAACCGUACCUAAAUACUACCACAAGUAAGCAAGUAGAGAAUACGAAGGCGUUUGAGUGAACAAUCAUUAAGGAACUCGGCAAACUAACUACCGUAACUUCGGGAUAAGGAGAGCCAUUCUUACUUAUUAGUAUAAGGUAAAGAAUAGGAAGCAUGGAAUAGUGUUGUACGACUGUUUAAUUAAAACAAAGCACUUUGCAAUAAGAUAAUAAAUCAAAGUAUUGAGUGUGAUUUCUGCCCAAUGUCGGCUGGUUAACGGAUUUUCUAGGUUGACUAAUAUAAGCUUGGAUUUGAAGGAAACCCCGAUCAAUGGCGGCCUUACCUAUGAGGGUCCUAAGGUAGCGGAAUACCCUGGCCGUUAAAUGCGGUCUUGCAUGAAUGAUUUAACGAUACAACAGCUGUCUCAAUGAUUGGCUCAGUGAAAUUGGAAUAACUGUGCAGAUACAGUUUACCUCUAGAUAGACGAGAAGACCCUAUGCAGCUUUACUGUUGCUAGUUAUUGAAUAUGAUUGAACCAAUAUUAGUGUAUAAGGUAGUUGGAGGCAAUUUUUUAAACCUCGUUCAGGCAAAAUUGAAACACCUUUAUUUUGUUUAUCAUAUUCGUAGGCUAUAGAGUCUACGUCAUAAUAUAAGGUGCGUUGUUAUUACGUUAUUAAGUAUUAUAAUUAACCCAUCAAAUGGGAACAAUGGCUAGGAGGCAGUUUAUGCGGGGCACAGAUCCCAUAAAAAGUACCUGGGUGUAUCCAAAGUUAAUUUUGUAAAAUUGUCAUGACUUACUUAUGACAAUUAAAUAUACAAACUGUAUAUUUUUAUUUUUAGUUUGUUAUUGGUUUAGCUUAAGCUAAAACUAAUCCAACUAUAUAUCUAUUAAGUUAGAAUUAAUAUUUUAAUUUAAGUAAGAUUUUAACUAUAUGGAAAAUAGAUGUAAUUAAAACAUUAAUUUGAAAAUAUUUUUCUAAUGUUUUUAGUUAUAUAAUUAGUUUAAAUUACACUUUUUAUAUAAUUAUGUUUAUUACUUGUCAAGUUUAAUGGCUUAAUCUUGCUUUACUGUUUGACUUACACGUCUAUCAGUCGCGUAAGCGGGGCAUAUGAUCACAAGAUGCAGAAAGGAAAGGUCUUGGAUUUUUGAAAAAGCUACGCUAGGGAUAACAGGCUAAUUGCGCCAGAGAGUACAAAUUGAGUGCGCAGUUUGGCACCUCGAUGUCGGCUUAACUUAUCCACAUGAAUGCAGGAAUCAUGAAGGGUUCGACUGUUCGUCGAUUAAAAAGUUACACGAGCUGGGUUAAAUACGUCGUGAGACAGUAUGGUUUCUAUCUUCUAGAGGAAAUUAGAAUAAAAUAAGCAUAGCCCCCUCGUACGAAAGGAGCUGGGUAUAUUAACCUAUGGUUUACCUGUUGUUUAUGUGCCCAAUAUAUUCUCAAUAAACUAAUAUAGAUGAGCGAAUAGGGAUGUUACUUUCACUUAAGUAAAUAUUUUGUAUCAUAGCAUAGGCACGGCAGGAACGCUAAGUUAGUUAGAGAUAAGUGCUGAAUGCAUCUAGGCACGAAACUUACCUUAAGAUAUUCUUAAAUAUACGUAGUUGAA